Molecule: ribosomal RNA, 446 nt
Filed under: uncultured bacterium
Lineage: Bacteria
Description: bacterial SSU rRNA
Rfam family: Bacterial small subunit ribosomal RNA
Source: RNAcentral
UACCAGACUCCUACGGGAGGCAGCAGUGGGGAAUAUUGCACAAUGGGGGGAACCCUGAUGCAGCGACGCCGCGUGAGUGAAGAAGUCUUUCGGUAUGUAAAGCUCUCUCAGCAGGGAAGAUAAUGACGGUACCUGACUAAGAAGCCCCGGCUAACUACGUGCCAGCAGCCGCGGUAAUACGUAGGGGGCAAGCGUUAUCCGGAUUUACUGGGUGUAAAGGGUGCGUAGGUGGCAGGGCAAGUCAGAUGUGAAAGCCCGGGGCCCAACCCCGGUACUGCAUUUGGAACUGUGUGGCUGGAGUGUCGGAGAGGCAGGCGGAAUUCCUAGUGUAGCGGUGAAAUGCGUAGAUAUUAGGAGGAACACCAGUGGCGAAGGCGGCCUGCUGGACGAUGACUGACGUUGAGGCUCGAAAGCGUGGGGAGCAAACAGGAUUAGAUACCCGAGUA